GCUGGAGUGGCGGAAUGGUAUACGCGGCGGACUCAAAAUCCGCUGUCCGCAAGGGCAUGAGGGUUCGACUCCCUCCUCCAGCACCA
This 86-nucleotide transfer RNA is filed under the name Candidatus Uhrbacteria bacterium RIFCSPHIGHO2_01_FULL_63_20. Its description in RNAcentral is "tRNA-Leu". It matches the Rfam family "tRNA". From Rfam's summary of the family: Transfer RNA (tRNA) molecules are approximately 80 nucleotides in length. Their secondary structure includes four short double-helical elements and three loops (D, anti-codon, and T loops). The record is from RNAcentral. RNAcentral also lists the same sequence under 1 other name. Lineage: Bacteria; Candidatus Uhriibacteriota.